Myiozetetes cayanensis is the source of this 274-nucleotide long non-coding RNA. RefSeq lists it as uncharacterized. The transcript is spliced from 3 exons. Lineage: Eukaryota; Metazoa; Chordata; Aves; Passeriformes; Tyrannidae. The record is from RefSeq and is a predicted model, not a curated record.
CAUUGGGUCACUGGGAUGGUCAAUAGGCUCAUUGGGAUGGUCAUUGAGGUCAUUGGGGUCAUUGGGAUGGUCAUUGAGGUCAUUGGGGUCACUGGGGUCAUUGGGAUGGUCAUUGAGAUCAUUGAGGUCAUUGGGGUCAUUGGGAUGGUCAUUGGGUCACUGGGAUGGUCAUUGAGGUCAUUGGGUCACUGGGAUGGUCAUUGAGCUCAUUGGGGUCAUUGGGAUGGUCAUUGGGGUCAUUGGGAUGGUCAUUGAGGUCAUUGGGGUCAUUGGG